UGACGUCAAGGUCCUCCAGUCGCGCCCUCGCUCACGCCACGCCCCCAUCAUAUUUCAGCAUCAUUUGGUGCCAAAAUUUCGUGAGUACGAAGCUCGGACGUCAUCGGUCACGUGGACGGUCAUAUAUAAAAGCGGCAACACGCGCUUUGUGAAAGUCAAAAGAGCGUUGACGUUGUCCAGCAAAGAUCCAGUCAUUGGACUGUGCAGCCAGCAGAGCGAGAUGCCGCACCGUCGCGGUGGAGACGGUGACUUUAAGUUUGCGCCAAACUACUAGAGUUGUCGGUUCAGCGACCCGUUCGCCCGGGCAGAGGAGUACCAUGAUUUCCAGACCAAGCCUCCCAAGUCCUGCCUUAAGGCUCCGGCCUCCUCGCCUCGCUUCUGCCCACCAACAACAAGGAUGAGAGCACCUCCAGCAACACCUCAUGUGUGUUGAAAUGAACUGACACCAGGGGACCAGAGCAUCUGAUGCUUUUCGCAAUAAAGGAUAGGGGUACUGCAACAACCUUAACAGCUUUGAUAUCCUUCCCACAUUAUGGUUUAAACAAGCCAAGAACAGCAAAGCCAUGACUGAAAUAACCAAAGGCCAUCUGACUUCAUCACAAGCCAGGCUGGAUUAACUAUCAGGGGGUCAGAGACGGACCAGAACAGCAACGGAAACCCCAAGGCAAGACUGGCAUAUGCAAAAGAGAGGACAGUGCCACUGGAGCCAGUGAACCAUAAACCCCCUGCUAGGCUUGAAUGUUACAUAAACUCUGAAAUGCAGAUUCACACACAUGAACACCACCCUGCCUACUUAGAAAGGAAUUAAUUUUUCCGAAGUGGCUCCUGUCCCCUCACAUGUUUUCUGUGUGUACUUGUAAGGAACUGUGGUUAAGUCAUCCAUGAAUCAUAAACAUAAACCAGGGAGUCACAAGAGACAGAUUACAUAAUUGAGUACAAUCAUGACUUUGAUGAGUUUUGUUGGGCACAUUAGUCAUUCACCUGGUCAUAAAUCCAGUUUUACAUGAAACGGCUAAUGACCUUCAGGGAAUAACCAUCACUGUCGAUCUACUUCUCAAUUCAACAGCAAUUUGUCAUGUAGUAACAUGAUUUGGAUGAGAGUCGUCAUUCAUAUCACCCUUUUGAUUAGUUUGACCUUGACUGACAGUGCAGCAGUACUUUUCCACACAUUCAUUAUGCUUCUUGUUUUUGUUACUGCGCCCUCUUCCUGGAACAGAUGAUCAUCACAUCUUGUAAACUUACCAAGCUGCUGUGACAGUAAACACACCAAAAUGCCGGCAUAACAAUGGCAGAAAUAAAUAUAGAUUCAGGUCCACGUUAUUAUGGAUUAGAAUUAGAGUUAAGACCUUCAGGAGUUUCAUUUUGAUAGAUUUAACUUUCUUUGAUUGAGAGGCCAUACUGUGAUUGGCCACACCCACACAGACAAAUCCAAACUCACUUUGUGUUUUGACAACAACUGGGCUCUAAACAACUCUUAUUGAUAGUAACACUUACCAUAGAUAUUUUUUCCCCAUGGUCCACCUCUAAAAACGAGUCGUGCCUUAGGCACAGGCUUACACAGGCCUACACCCAAAUACAUGAUCAUUGAGUCUCAAAGAAACUUAAUUGUUCUUUGAUAGAUAGCUACUUAAAAUUUCAUAAUAAAGCCAUUCAACAGUUUGUGAAGACUGU
Molecule: long non-coding RNA, 1671 nt
Organism: Micropterus dolomieu (smallmouth bass)
Lineage: Eukaryota; Metazoa; Chordata; Actinopteri; Centrarchiformes; Centrarchidae
Exons: 4
Source: RefSeq, a predicted model, not a curated record